GAUGAAGAACGUAGCGAAAUGCGAUAACUAAUGUGAAUUGCAGAAUUCAGUGAAUCAUCGAGUCAUUGAACGCACAUUGCGCCCCCUGGUAUUCCGGGGGGCAUGCCUGUCCGAGCGUCAUUGCUGCCCUCAAGCACGGCUUGUGUGUUGGGCUCCGUCCCCCCGGGGACGGGCCCGAAAGGCAGCGGCGGCACCGAGUCCGGUCCUCGAGCGUAUGGGGCUUUGUCACCCGCUCUGUAGGCCCGGCCGGCGCCAGCCGACAACCCAUCAUCCUUUUCAGGUUGACCUCGGAUCAGGUAGGGAUACCCGCUGAACUUAAGCAUAUCAAUAAGCGGAGGA
RNAcentral lists this unclassified non-coding RNA (339 nucleotides) under soil metagenome. RNAcentral describes it as "partial contains 5.8S ribosomal RNA, internal transcribed spacer 2, and large subunit ribosomal RNA". The stretch from base 1 to 120 matches the Rfam family "5.8S ribosomal RNA", at positions 35 to 154 of the family's 154-position model. The record is from RNAcentral.